Molecule: long non-coding RNA, 2503 nt
Organism: Amphimedon queenslandica
Lineage: Eukaryota; Metazoa; Porifera; Demospongiae; Haplosclerida; Niphatidae
Exons: 2
Source: RefSeq, a predicted model, not a curated record
AUCUAUGAAAUGAAUGGUGAACGUUAAAUAGGGAUCACAUGACCCACUAGUCCACAAAUCAGUUGUGCCAGAGAAAAAGGAAGCUUUAGUAACAGCGGGCUGAACUAUAUAUCAGAAUACAGUAACAGAAUAUCAUACUCUGAGAAGUGUGUUCUCCUUUGUACAGUACCUCAUACUUUGGAUUUAAUUUUGACAACAAACGUUUAAAUCCUGGCUAAGUACCAGUCAAAAUGGGCAAAGCACCCUUUGCCAUGUAGUAAGUUACAGCCAUAUUUAACUCUUUUACCUCAGAACUGUGAGUACUGUACUUAGAUGUAGCCUCUUUAAUGUUUCCUGUAGGUAAGCUGUAUCAUACUAGGCUGCUUAUCAGCAAAAGAUUCUCCUCUUUUACUUGGUAUCUCGACCAGUGCUAACUGAGAAUAAAUGGCUGGAUGGUUGUCUCGUAAAUUUUGAAUUAAGUUUGUUGUAUUACUUUUAUUUGCUUGAACACCUUUGCCACAUUUUAGACACGUGAGUCCCUCUCUCACUUUCAGUGACUUUCCCGUUUUCAUCUGACCUUAUAUCAAACUCCCUUCCACAAGCAGCUCUUUGUGUUUUUCUUUGAGAUCAAGCCACAUUUGAUGCGCCUGGUAUAGACUCUAGAGAUUGCCUGCCUUGCUGCCAUUACUAAGUAGACAUGUACUGUGAUAGUUGUGGUGAAACAAUUUUUUUUUAUUAAAGUAAUAUGUGGUUAUAAUAGUUUAUGCAAAACCGGUUUAUGGCACAUCACUAAAAGGGAUAAUAUUGAUGCAUGUAUGAAUGAUAUUUUUAAAGGAGAAUGUGUUGUAUUCGAAGGGUUCAAGUUGAGUUGGCACAGGAAGUAAAUCAAUGUUUGCAUCACGAAAUGUCAGUCCUAGCCACACACAAAAUGUCAUUCCUAGCCACACCCAGAAUGGUGGCAGAGUGCAAGCAAACUCUUUUAUUGAGCGUUUUUUUCACCUCUAAGACCUUUUAUUGUCUGUUUUAUCCUUACUUUGGAUACUACUACCUUUAUUUAUCACUAACCGGACCUUUUCUUUGUCAUAAAGCUCAUAAGGAUGACCCCAGAUACGGAAAAUAGCAACAUAGAUUGAGUAUGAUGAAGAAUAGCAGCUAUCAUGAAGGCUGCAGACAGACAUUAUCACAUAGGAAUUGUGUCCUUGUACUAUAGACUGCUAGUUGACUACCUGCUUUUCUAAAGGAACUUAACUGUUUGCUUUUAUUUUAUAAAAUAAUAAACAAAAUAAUAAUAAGAUGCUAAUGGUAUUCACGAGUGUGAUGUACUAGUGUGAAUGUAAUGAUUUAUCAUGGCGGCUCCCUUUGAACUAGAGCAAGAGAACCCAUGUAGAACCUUCCAGAGUACCUAGAGACUCAAAAAUUGCUAAAGAUUUUUGGAAGAACCCAUUAUGCAACUAUGCUAAGUUUCAAAGUGCGAGCUUCAGUAAUAAAAAAGUUAUAAGGGGUUGUACUUGGGUAGCUCAACUUGAACGGACUAAUGUUAUGAAAACUAAAUCAUCUAAAUGAUGUCAAAAAAUUGUCAAAAAUAUGCAUUAUUACAAAAAGUCAAUAGUUUUUCCUUCCUGAAACAAUCUGGGUUAUGCAGGAGUUGUUCUAAAGUACAUCCUACUUCUACUGAUUGGCUAAAGUAACUCUGGGCUGUGUCUGUGAUGAGACACUGCAAAACCUCUCAGAUCAUCACGGAAACCCAUAGCUACUGUAUCAGAUUUGAUUACUGUAUUUCCUCGAUCACUAGCCGUGGCUACUAUAAGUUUCAGCUGAAGUCGACGGGGGCUGCUAUUCAAGGGUGGUCACCAUCGAGAGCGACUACUAUUACUUUUAUAGCAAACACGUGGCCAGUCACGCCUGCAUGUGAUGGCACCCGUCACUCUCCAUGUGUGUGCACCAUUGUGUAGAAAUCAAGCAAACUUGAGCUAAAUGUUGCUAGACAUGGAAAUUAAGAGUUUUAUCAGAAGACACCAUGUCCACAAGGCAAUAAUGAACCCGGUAAUAGGAGAGAAACUAUAGGUCUUGCCAGAGAACGACAACAUGCACUCGACCAAGCACACGUGGCACAUUAAUUAAUGAAAAUUUAAUUAACUGUGGCUUCUAUUAGAAGGCGGCUACUAUUACAAUAGUUGUAAGCACAGAGGGGGCUACUAUUUGAAAGACGACUUCUAUUUGAGGAAAUAUGGACACAGCUUCAUUUGGCUUACUUUUGAAUUGACACUGUUACAAUCUAAAUGGUUCAACCCAUUGCUUAAGCUAUGAAUUCAGAUCCAUACAAGCUUUAUCCUCCACCUUUUGAGACAAAUUAGCUCGCAGACUCAUACAUUUUUUGUCUCCCUCUCUUGCUUCAAGGAAGGAUUUGUUUGAAAUAAAGAUUUUACUUUCGUUUAAAGAUAAUAUUGAUACCUUGAUUCAAUGAGGGUUGUUGUUAUUAUUUGUUUCUAUUUCUUAAUUAUGACUAUUUAUGUUUUCAUUUGUA